This 1470-nucleotide long non-coding RNA is filed under the name Gallus gallus (chicken). Its description in RNAcentral is "lncRNA (ENSGALG00010012018.1)". The record is from RNAcentral. Lineage: Eukaryota; Metazoa; Chordata; Aves; Galliformes; Phasianidae.
AGAAGUUGAGUGCCUGCUGUAGGUGUAGGAGAGAAGUCCUGUGGUCGGAAGCUCUGCAAAGAAGCAGCCCACUUCCAGCUCCUGCAGGGUGGCUGGAGUAAAGUUUUGGUUACAAAGACACAAUUACUGCUCUGAAGGAAUGAUGAAAGGUGCUUUGACGUGGAGGUUACCACAACGGCUUCAUUAUGGGAAAGAAAUGAGAAGCUGCACUGAGUUACCAUCUACCAUGUUUUAGCCACAUCCUGCAGUGGAACUUGACCAUGAGAGCCAGCCUGAUAUGUGGUUUGUUAUUUUGUUGUUUUGUUUUCUUACGAUCCCUGAAGUUCCAUUUUAAGAAAUUAUCAUACUAAGCACAGACCUCAGUCUUCAUGGGUCUGCUGAUGUGGGCGUGCAAUGUCUUCAGUCUCUUAUGGUGUUGAGCAUUCCAGAAAGAGGCUAAGUUAGGAUGUUUGGUUUUUCUGAGGACAUGUUAGAUGAAGGUACAAACUGUCCAGGAAAUGAGAUAGAACUAUGUUUUUACGAAGGUAUGAAUUGAGGAUGAUCUUCAUGGGCACAAGAGAAGCAUUUGGGAUUUCAAAGCACCAUGUCCUAAUGUUCUAGAUGGAUUGGUAUUCAACCAUAUGAAUAGGCCAUGCUGAAUAUAACUUUCAGAUAAGGUAUUCACAUAUAUACGUUCUUAUCCCGAAGUAGGUGUUUCUGCGCCCAUUGGUUGAUAAUAUUACAUGUUAUGCAAAAAUAUUUUGCAACUACAGUACAUAGUGCACAUUUAUGCACUCAUAUCUCCUGCUAUUCAUAUCUGAGUACCUAUUUGUGAAGUCAGGGAGACAUGAACACUGGCACAAGACUCGUGCUUAAGUAGUCAUAAGUGGUCAUAUAGAUAUAUACAUUCCUUCUUUAACUAAAAGCUUGCUCAGCGCUGUUGAAGUCUGCAGCAACUCAUGUUGUCAGAGUGGGAACAGCCACAGAUACUGAUCUCCCAAACCGUCCCUUUCACUGUAAUGGACUCUCAGUGAUGACAACUGUUUUUUGUGUUGUUUCUUCUUCUUUUUUUUUUUCUUGAGUUCACUGCUAGAAUGUGCUGAUCUUUACAAAGCUCAGUCUCCCAGUAAUAAUACAUAUUCUUUGAAAGGAGGCAGAAGGAUAAAAAAAAACAGCAGAAUCCAGAAUCAGAUUAAUGUAAUGUGUAUUUCCAUCUUAUGAUUACUAACAAGAUGGCAUGUUGGCAUGUUAACACUUGAAGUUUAACUACAAGUUUUUAAAAUGAAGCAAUGACAUGUGCGUAGCUUUCUCUCCCUUUGCAUACAAUCCACCAGAAAACAUGCAUCAUUCCCACAGUACUCAGGCAAUUAAACCCUACUACUUACUUUUGAAUUAAGUGUUGAACUAAAACAUCAUGCUUCUUUCCUCGCAUUUAUGCAUAAUCUCCCACCAUGAAUUAUAAAUAUUGAUAAUGAACCCAUCCAUUUUGUA